CCAGCGAUUAGCCUGAGUUCCUUAAAUGACUCGGCUAGCAGCUUCCGGGAAACCAAAGUGUUUCGGUUCCGGGGGAAGUAUGGUUGCAAAGCUGAAACUUAAAGGAAUUGACGGAAGGGCACCACCAGGAGUGGAGCCUGCGGCUUAAUUUGACUCAACACGGAAAACUUACCCGGCCCGGACACUGGAAGGAUUGACAGAUUGAGAGCUCUUUCUUGAUUCAGUGGGUGGUGGUGCAUGGCCGUUCUUAGUUGGUGGAGCGAUUUGUCUGGUUAAUUCCGAUAACGAACGAGACUCUAGCCUACUAAAUAGACUGUUCAGCUUUAUAGCCGGAAUCACUGGGCAUGUAGCUCCUCUCGGGGGGUUGCGUGUUCGGCUCUGGUGACGUUGGCAGUGCUUCUUAGAGGGACAGGCGGCGGUUCAGCCGCACGAAACAGAGCAAUAACAGGUCUGUGAUGCCCUUAGAUGUCCGGGGCUGCACGCGCGCUACACUGAAGUGAUCAGCGUGCAAUUUACGUUUGGUGAUCUGUCAAGAUUGCCCAACCCGUUGAACCUUCUUCGUGAUUGGGAUAGGGGAUUGUAAUUAUUCCCCUUGAACGAGGAAUUCCCAGUAAGCGCAAGUCAUAAGCUUGCGUUGAUUACGUCCCUGCCCUUUG
Molecule: ribosomal RNA, 656 nt
Filed under: uncultured eukaryote
Lineage: Eukaryota
Description: bacterial SSU rRNA
Rfam family: Eukaryotic small subunit ribosomal RNA
Source: RNAcentral